RNAcentral lists this ribosomal RNA (498 nucleotides) under uncultured bacterium. RNAcentral's name for it is "partial 16S ribosomal RNA". It matches the Rfam family "Bacterial small subunit ribosomal RNA", at positions 28 to 507 of the family's 1533-position model. The record is from RNAcentral.
GACGAACGCUGGCGGCGUGCCUAAUACAUGCAAGUCGAGCGGACGGAUGGGAGCUUGCUCCCAGACCGUCAGCGGCGGACGGGUGAGUAACACGUGGGCAACCUGCCUGUAAGACUGGGAUAACUCCGGGAAACCGGGGCUAAUACCGGAUAACUCUUUCCCUCACAUGAGGGAAAGCUGAAAGAUGGCAUCUCGCUAUCACUUACAGAUGGGCCCGCGGCGCAUUAGCUAGUUGGUGAGGUAACGGCUCACCAAGGCGACGAUGCGUAGCCGACCUGAGAGGGUGAUCGGCCACACUGGGACUGAGACACGGCCCAGACUCCUACGGGAGGCAGCAGUAGGGAAUCUUCCGCAAUGGACGAAAGUCUGACGGAGCAACGCCGCGUGAGUGAUGAAGGUUUUCGGAUCGUAAAACUCUGUUGUCAGGGAAGAACAGGUACCGGAGUAACUGCCGGUACCUUGACGGUACCUGACCAGAAAGCCACGGCUAACUACGUG